Molecule: ribosomal RNA, 467 nt
Filed under: uncultured bacterium
Lineage: Bacteria
Description: partial 16S ribosomal RNA
Rfam family: Bacterial small subunit ribosomal RNA
Source: RNAcentral
ACGAACGCUGGCGGCGUGCUUAACACAUGCAAGUCGAACGGAAAGGCCCUGCUUUUGUGGGGUGCUCGAGUGGCGAACGGGUGAGUAACACGUGAGUAACCUGCCCUUGACUUUGGGAUAACUUCAGGAAACUGGGGCUAAUACCGGAUAGGAGCUCCUGCUGCAUGGUGGGGGUUGGAAAGUUUCGGCGGUUGGGGAUGGACUCGCGGCUUAUCAGCUUGUUGGUGGGGUAGUGGCUUACCAAGGCUUUGACGGGGAGCCGGCCUGAGAGGGUGACCGGCCCCAUUGGGACUGCGGUACGGCCCAGACUCCUACGGGAGGCAGCAGUGGGGAAUAUUGCACAAUGGGCGGAAGCCUGAUGCAGCAACGCCGCGUGCGGGAUGACGGCCUUCGGGUUGUAAACCGCUUUCGCCUGUGACGAAGCGUGAGUGACGGUAAUGGGUAAAGAAGCACCGGCUAACUACGUG